CAGAGGAAGGAAGGAGGAGCUCCAGAGAGGGUGGCGGCCCCUCUACCUCUUGCUGCCUCGCUCUCUGGGUUUGCCGCGGAGGAAAGCACGUGCUUCCCCUGCAGUCUGCCAGCAUGACCUUUUUGCAGGUAAAUGCACUGGAGAGGAACAACGAGGUCAAAUAAGUGCUAGAAGCAAAAGUGUCUCAGUUGUGAUUCUGCCACUGCUUGGAUUUUCCCCGUGAAACUCAAGCCUUGGAAUUUUGGAGGGAAAGAAUGUUGCAGACGCUGAGGUAAAAGGAUCCAGCAAGGCCAUGGUCCUGCCACCAUCUACCCAGAGAACUGUCCAAGUAGAAACGGAGUACCACAUCUUAACAGGAAAGAAAAAAAAUCGGACCUGGACUGUAGAUGAAAUGCAAAGCUAUAGAGAUACAAGAGUGAAGUCUAAAGGGAGGUAUCGUUGCUUCCUCUAGCUACUGUAAAUGAAUGAGCAGUAUGGAAAUGAAUGGAAAAGCAUUACAUGAGUCAGCAAGCUGCUCUGUUUCGUUACUGCUCUUAGACAUUUGAUGCUCUACAGCCAUUUGAUAUGCAAAGAAAGAGUUACAGAUCUCUUCCCUUAGCUCUGUCCCCUGGGCUCUUUCCACCAGGCAAUUGGACAGAAGCACAGCUACAUCUGAGGCAUCAAAUAGGGAAGAAGGAGUUCCUUUGCAGUCAUGGAGAGUCACACAAGGGACACAGGUAGACUAUAAGCUUUCCACUUCAUGUUGAGAAGAAAAACACGAGUGAGGAUAUAGAAAAAAAUAUUCAAUGUGAAUAUCACUGGAAAUACAUCAGUUCUUUUAUUUUUAUGUGUGGUUACACAAGACUCUGCUUGAUUGACUGUGGUUAAACAUGAAGAAAAUCAAGCGAAGCAAUGGAGCAAAGAACAACGCAGGUGCUCUUUUCCUGAGGUUUUUGAAAUAGUGCACUAUGUGCAAAGCCAGUGAGCCGCACUUUGUGUUGGCUGGCUGGGGAAACAGGUAGGAAAUCAGUGGGACUGCAGAGUACCCUGGGAAAGUAAUUUACUUUCUGCCAAAUGGGGAGGCAUAAGGUGCUUCUCACAAAAGUAGCCUCUGGGUUAAUAUGCUUCAGUUCAGUCACACCAAGAAAACAUUUUCUGGAUUUAUGUUUUGCUGUUGUACUAUUUCACUAUUUCACUAGUUGGCUUUUUUGUAUGUCGUAUUUUGCUAUGUUCUUUUCCUCUGGCAGACAAAAAUAUUUUUUAGAUAAGUCAUUUUCUGACUGCCCCACUCAUAUACAGAAGUUAUUUUACUUUGUUCUAUACUUCUAAAGAGUUCUGUAAGAGUUAAUUAUAAUUAUUUUGAAGUUUGUGAAUGAUUAUUUGGAAAAGGAAUCAUUUUUGCAUUGUUCAUUCUACUAACAAGAUAUAAUAUAUAAGUAGUUCCCAAUCUGUUUCACAGCUUAAAACACACUUCUUAUUUUUGUGGGAAAUAAAAAAAGAAAACAAGGGUAAGGAAAAGCUUAAAGUUAAGGAAAAAAAAAAUGUUAGCAAGCAGAAGGAACAUCCUUAUAUGGUUAUUCUAAUACCACCUUCUACUGAAUGUUCAUUCAACUCAUGCAGCUUGAAAGUUUCCUUCAGAUCUGUAACUUUAUCUAGAUGCCAGUCUAGCAACUCUGUACUCUUUAAAGCUUAAAGUCUUAAGCACUGUUUUUCUUUUAUGCCAAAUGCUGAUCAGUAUGGUGGUAAAACUCAGGGCAAAAUAAAGAUCUUUAAUGGGUGUGAAAAAAUGAAAUUGUCUGGAGCUCAGGCCAGAAGGAUAAAAUAACAUUUCUGUUUCUAACAAAAUUAUGUAGUACGAAAAGGAAAUAGUUUUUGAGAUGGCUUUCAGUUUUCAGCGGAACUCCAUCCUGAAAAACAGCAGUGGGUCACGGAGAGACCUGAAGAACCAAAGGUCACAGCUGAAAAAUUGAAUGACUCUGUAUUGAGCUCAGACUGGUUACAGAUAUAUUAUAAACUUAGGUUUAUCAACACAAGCAUAGCCUGACAAUAAAACCACAUCACUGUUACAUACCCUGUUUCCUGAGCCUGAGCUGCAUUAGAAUGCAGACAACACGACUUGGGACUGGUAUCAGUGAAAUGAAUUGGAGUUCAUUUAUAGAGGCUGUUUUCAGACUGAAAUUUGCAGUACCGUUCUGAUUUUCUAAUCGUCAGAAAGAACAGGAGUCACUUUGAUGUUACUGAUAUACACACUGAAAUUCAACCCUUUUUCUUUUUUUCUUUCCUUAAAAGCUUAUCUUAGCCUUGACAAGGGUGUGUUUAAAUUGUUUUCUUUCUCACAGGCUUAUUGUAAAAGCCUUGUUAUUGUCAUCUGACAUCUACAGAAAGGUGAGUCAGUGCUUGUAAUGAAGAAAGAUAAGCAUUUAUCAAAGUGGAUUCCUUGCACCUUGUUUACAGUCGGAAAGUAAAAGAAGCUU
This 2453-nucleotide long non-coding RNA is filed under the name Gallus gallus (chicken). RNAcentral describes it as "lncRNA (ENSGALG00010009656.1)". Lineage: Eukaryota; Metazoa; Chordata; Aves; Galliformes; Phasianidae. The record is from RNAcentral.